Molecule: ribosomal RNA, 1302 nt
Filed under: metagenome
Description: bacterial LSU rRNA
Rfam family: Bacterial large subunit ribosomal RNA
Source: RNAcentral
UACACGACCGUACCGCAAACCGACACUGGUGCGCGAGAUGAGUAUUCUAAGGCGCUUGAGAGAACUCUGGAGAAGGAACUCGGCAAAUUGACACCGUAACUUCGGAAGAAGGUGUGCCUUUAGUAGGUGAAGUCCCUCGCGGAUGGAGCCCAAUGAGGUUGCAAAAAAUCGGUGGCUGCGACUGUUUAAUAAAAACACAGCACUCUGCAAAGACGAAAGUCGACGUAUAGGGUGUGACGCCUGCCCGGUGCUGGAAGAUUAAAUGAUGGGGUGCAAGCUCUUGAUUGAAGUCCCAGUAAACGGCGGCCGUAACGAUAACGGUCCUAAGGUAGCGAAAUUCCUUGUCGGGUAAGUUCCGACCUGCACGAAUGGCGUAACGAUGGCCACACUGUCUCCUCCAGAGACUCAGCGAAGUUGAAAUGUUUGUGAUGAUGCAAUCUCCCCGCGGAAAGACGGAAAGACCCCAUGAACCUUUACUGUAGCUUUGUAUUGGACUUUGAACAGAUCUGUGUAGGAUAGGUGGGAGGCUUUGAAGCAGGGUCGCUAGAUCUUGUGGAGCCAACGUUGAAAUACCACCCUGGUGUGUUUGAGGUUCUAACCUAGGUCCAUUAGCUGGAUCGGGGACAGUGCAUGGUAGGCAGUUUGACUGGGGCGGUCUCCUCCCAAAGCGUAACGGAGGAGUUCGAAGGUACGCUAGGUACGGUCGGACAUCGUGCUAAUAGUGCAAUGGCAUAAGCGUGCUUAACUGCGAGACUGACAAGUCGAGCAGAUGCGAAAGCAGGACAUAGUGAUCCGGUGGUUCUGUAUGGAAGGGCCAUCGCUCAACGGAUAAAAGGUACUCUGGGGAUAACAGGCUGAUACCGCCCAAGAGUUCAUAUCGACGGCGGUGUUUGGCACCUCGAUGUCGGCUCAUCUCAUCCUGGGGCUGUAGCCGGUCCCAAGGGUAUGGCUGUUCGCCAUUUAAAGAGGUACGUGAGCUGGGUUUAAAACGUCGUGAGACAGUUUGGUCCCUAUCUUCCGUGGGCGCUGCAGAUUUGAGGAAGCCUGCUCCUAGUACGAGAGGACCGGAGUGGACACACCUCUGGUGUAUCGGUUGUCACGCCAGUGGCAUUGCCGAGUAGCUAAGUGUGGAAGAGAUAACCGCUGAAAGCAUCUAAGCGGGAAACUCGUUUCAAGAUGAGAUCUGCCGGGGCCUUGAGCCCCCUAAAGAGUCGUUCAAGACCAGGACGUUGAUAGGUCAGGUGUGGAAGCGCAGUAAUGCGUUAAGCUAACUGAUACUAAUUGCUCGUGCGACUUGACCCG